ACGAAGUUCUAUCUUCGAAUCAGCCUAUGUCCCAUGUUCCUAAGGAACAGAAAAUCGCUUAUAUCAGAGAUCUGCACCCAUUUGAGAAUAAGGAUAGGGAAUUCUUGGUGACAGUCACUGUAAAAAAGAUUGGUGAUAGGUGGUGGUACAAUGCAUGCAAAAAAUGCACCCGCACAGCUGUGGCUCAUGGGGAUUCCUACAAGUGCAGCGAUCAAGUUUGCGCUAACAUUGGCACGCCUAGCCAGAGGUACAAACUGCUUCUCGCUGCAGGGGAUGAGACGGGUGACAUAGACUUCAUCCUCUUUGGUCGGAUGGCGCAACGCAUCAUCAAGAAGCCGUGCGAUAUGCUCAUUGUCAACAAUCCGAUCGACUUUAUUCCUGAUCCAAUCACAGAUCUGCUCGAGAAGACGUAUAUAUGGAAUGUGAGUUUCUCUGACCACACAAUCAAUACUGGAAAUAUUUGUUUCCAGGUCAACGCAGUCGUGGCAGAGAUAGGUACUGCAAAGGACUUCAUCCAAGCAUCUUCAUCAAGGCCAAAACAGUCACAACCUGUGUUGUUGCAAGACGCACCCAGUGGCGUUGAAGACACUCCUAACAAAGCCUCUAACUUGGUCAUGCCUUCGACCCCGCUCACACCACAAAGUUCCGCAACCAGUGUGCAAGAUAAGACUUUUUGUGUUGGCAGCAGCACUAUGGUUCCAGGUGCUAUUCCCGCUAUAACAAAGGAACUGACAUCCACGCCUAGGAAGAGGACAAGGUCUUCGCCAUCAAAGACAGUUACAAAGAGGUUGUUCACCGACAUAGAUGGAGGAAUCACUGGCUCUAAGGAUGUCGCGGAUAGCGCUGCUGCCCCUAGCCCUACCAAAGAUGCUUAGUCACAGAGGGGCACAGGUCUUUUGGGCUCACAGUUGCAGCUGUUCGCUCUUUUGGAUGAUCGUUGUCUACUGCUUUUGUAUCCAAG
Molecule: unclassified non-coding RNA, 961 nt
Filed under: Zea mays
Lineage: Eukaryota; Viridiplantae; Streptophyta; Magnoliopsida; Poales; Poaceae
Description: misc RNA Zm00001eb337120
Source: RNAcentral